CUACGGGUUGCUGCAGUGAGGAAUAUUGCGCAAUGGGGGAAACCCUGACGCAGCGACGCCGCGUGGAUGAUGAAGGCUUUCGGGUCGUAAAAUCCUGUCAGAAGGGAAGAAAUGCUAUAUGCCUAAUAUGUGUAUAGUUUGACGGUACCUUCAAAGGAAGCACCGGCUAACUCCGUGCCAGCAGCCGCGGUAAUACGGAGGGUGCAAGCGUUGUUCGGAAUUACUGGGCGUAAAGCGCGCGUAGGCGGCCUUGUAAGUCAGAUGUGAAAGUCCACGGCUCAACCGUGGAAGUGCAUUUGAUACUGGGAGGCUUGAGUACUGGAGGGGAUGGUGGAAUUCCCGGUGUAGAGGUGAAAUUCGUAGAUAUCGGGAGGAAUACCGGUGGCGAAGGCGACCAUCUGGCCAGAUACUGACGCUGAGGUGCGAAAGCGUGGGGAGCAAACAGGAUUAGAUACCCCAGUAGUC
Molecule: ribosomal RNA, 465 nt
Filed under: uncultured bacterium
Lineage: Bacteria
Description: partial 16S ribosomal RNA
Rfam family: Bacterial small subunit ribosomal RNA
Source: RNAcentral